Molecule: non-coding RNA, 119 nt
Organism: Gossypium raimondii (Peruvian cotton)
Lineage: Eukaryota; Viridiplantae; Streptophyta; Magnoliopsida; Malvales; Malvaceae
Source: Rfam
GGGUUCGAUCAUACUAGCAUUAAUGCACCGGAUCUCAUUAGAACUCCGCUGUUAAGCGUGCAUGGGCGAGAGUAGUACUAGGAUAGGUGACCUCCUGGGAAGUCCUCGUGUUGCACCCC